RNAcentral lists this non-coding RNA (27 nucleotides) under Cricetulus griseus (Chinese hamster). The record is from RNAcentral. Lineage: Eukaryota; Metazoa; Chordata; Mammalia; Rodentia; Cricetidae.
UAUGUCACUAGGUUUUCCUGCUAGAGG